Long non-coding RNA from Scatophagus argus, 453 nucleotides. RefSeq lists it as uncharacterized. NCBI's taxonomy places the organism in Eukaryota, Metazoa, Chordata, Actinopteri, Scatophagidae. The record is from RefSeq and is a predicted model, not a curated record. The transcript has 3 exons.
CUAAUAUUGAGCAUCCAGUAACUAACACAUUAUGAUUAUUAUUAUGGAUUAACCAACCCGGCAGUCAUUGAUGAUACCCCGUUCCCAAAUGCCAGCUAUUAGAUAACUGUGUGAUUGGUUCCAGCUCCUCUACACGAUGUUCCUCUCCAGCACGGGUUCCUGGGCCAGAAUGCGUCUGAAAUCGAAGGCACUCAGGUCCAGCGUUUUAAAGUCCCCGUCCAGGAUCAGUUCUGCCACCGCACGACCGACCGCGGGGGACUGCUGCAGGCCGUGGCCGCUGAACCCGGUGGCAAAGUACAUGUUGUGGAUGAGAGGGCAGUGGAAUUCCAGCGAUGGAGCCCGUGGGACCGAAGCCAAUUCCCAGCUUCUCUGCCAGUUUACCAGAAAAGGCUCCCGCCGCAUUCACCACAAUGGCACAUUCAACCAGCUGGUACUCCAGGCUGUUCAGCAUCC